GGGUUGUGAGGUUAAGCGACUAAGCGUACACGGUGGAUGCCCUGGCAGUCAGAGGCGAUGAAGGACGUGCUAAUCUGCGAUAAGCGCCGGUAAGGUGAUAUGAACCGUUAUAACCGGCGAUUUCCGAAUGGGGAAACCCAGUGUGACUCGUCACACUAUCAUUAACUGAAUCCAUAGGUUAAUGAGGCGAACCGGGGGAACUGAAACAUCUAAGUACCCCGAGGAAAAGAAAUCAACCGAGAUUCCCCCAGUAGCGGCGAGCGAACGGGGAGGAGCCCAGAGCCUGAAUCAGCAUGUGUGUUAGUGGAAGCGUCUGGAAAGGCGCGCGAUACAGGGUGACAGCCCCGUACACAAAAGCGCAUGUGCUGUGAGCUCGAUGAGUAGGGCGGGACACGUGGUAUCCUGUCUGAAUAUGGGGGGACCAUCCUCCAAGGCUAAAUACUCCUGACUGACCGAUAGUGAACCAGUACCGUGAGGGAAAGGCGAAAAGAACCCCGGCGAGGGGAGUGAAAAAGAACCUGAAACCGUGUACGUACAAGCAGUGGGAGCCCCACCACUAAGCCAGUGGUGAACUCCACAUACGCAUCCUUUGCUGAUGGCAAUGGUUAACGGAGCGAAAGCGACGUUCAACCGCAAAACAAGCAGAGGGGGCUUAGUGGUGGGGUGACUGCGUACCUUUUGUAUAAUGGGUCAGCGACUUAUAUUCUGUAGCAAGGUUAACCGUAUAGGGGAGCCGCAGGGAAACCGAGUCUUAACCGGGCGUUAAGUUGCAGGGUAUAGACCCGAAACCCGGUGAUCUAGCCAUGGGCAGGUUGAAGGUUGGGUAACACUAACUGGAGGACCGAACCGACUAAUGUUGAAAAAUUAGCGGAUGACCUGUGGCUGGGGGUGAAAGGCCAAUCAAACCGGGAGAUAGCUGGUUCUCCCCGAAAGCUAUUUAGGUAGCGCCUCGUGAAUUCAUCUCCGGGGGUAGAGCACUGUUUCGGCUAGGGGGCCAUCCCGGCUUACCAACCCGAUGCAAACUGCGAAUACCGGAGAAUGUUAUCACGGGAGACACACGGCGGGUGCUAACGUCCGUCGUGAAGAGGGAAACAACCCAGACCGCCAGCUAAGGUCCCAAAGUCAUGGUUAAGUGGGAAACGAUGUGGGAAGGCCCAGACAGCCGUGAUGUUGGCUUAGAAGCAGCCAUCAUUUAAAGAAAGCGUAAUAGCUCACUGGUCGAGUCGGCCUGCGCGGAAGAUGUAACGGGGCUAAACCAUGCACCGAAGCUGCGGCAGCGACACUCAGGUGUUGUUGGGUAGGGGAGCGUUCUGUAAGCCUGCGAAGGUGGCCUGUGAGGGUUGCUGGAGGUAUCAGAAGUGCGAAUGCUGACAUAAGUAACGAUAAAGCGGGUGAAAAGCCCGCUCGCCGGAAGACCAAGGGUUCCUGUCCAACGUUAAUCGGGGCAGGGUGAGUCGACCCCUAAGGCGAGGCCGAAAGGCGUAGUCGAUGGGAAACGGGUUAAUAUUCCCGUACUUGGUGUUACUGCGAAGGGGGGACGGAGAAGGCUAUGUUGGCCGGGCGACGGUUGUCCCGGUUUAAGCGUGUAGGUGUGUGUUCCAGGUAAAUCCGGUUCACUUUAACACUGAGGCGUGACGACGAGGCACUACGGUGCUGAAGCAACAAAUGCCCUGCUUCCAGGAAAAGCCUCUAAGCAUCAGGUAACAUCAAAUCGUACCCCAAACCGACACAGGUGGUCAGGUAGAGAAUACCAAGGCGCUUGAGAGAACUCGGGUGAAGGAACUAGGCAAAAUGGUGCCGUAACUUCGGGAGAAGGCACGCUGACACGUAGGUGAAGUGAUUUACUCAUGGAGCUGAAGUCAGUCGAAGAUACCAGCUGGCUGCAACUGUUUAUUAAAAACACAGCACUGUGCAAACACGAAAGUGGACGUAUACGGUGUGACGCCUGCCCGGUGCCGGAAGGUUAAUUGAUGGGGUCAGCGCAAGCGAAGCUCCUGAUCGAAGCCCCGGUAAACGGCGGCCGUAACUAUAACGGUCCUAAGGUAGCGAAAUUCCUUGUCGGGUAAGUCCUGACCUGCACGAAUGGCGUAAUGAUGGCGGGCUGUCUCCACCCGAGACUCAGUGAAAUUGAACUCGCUGUGAAGAUGCAGUGUACCCGCGGCAAGACGGAAAGACCCCGUGAACCUUUACUAUAGCUUGACACUGAACAUUGAGCCUUGAUGUGUAGGAUAGGUGGGAGGCUUUGAAGUGUGGACGCCAGUCUGCAUGGAGCCGACCUUGAAAUACCACCCUUUAAUGUUUGAUGUUCUAACGUGGACCCGUAAUCCGGGUUGCGGACAGUGUCUGGUGGGUAGUUUGACUGGGGCGGUCUCCUCCUAAAGAGUAACGGAGGAGCACGAAGGUUGGCUAAUCUGGUCGGACAUCAGGAGGUUAGUGCAAUGGCAUAAGCCAGCUUGACUGCGAGCGUGACGGCGCGAGCAGGUGCGAAAGCAGGUCAUAGUGAUCCGGUGGUUCUGAAUGGAAGGGCCAUCGCUCAACGGAUAAAAGGUACUCCGGGGAUAACAGGCUGAUACCGCCCAAGAGUUCAUAUCGACGGCGGUGUUUGGCACCUCGAUGUCGGCUCAUCACAUCCUGGGGCUGAAGUAGGUCCCAAGGGUAUGGCUGUUCGCCAUUUAAAGUGGUACGCGAGCUGGGUUUAGAACGUCGUGAGACAGUUCGGUCCCUAUCUGCCGUGGGCGCUGGAGAACUGAGGGGGGCUGCUCCUAGUACGAGAGGACCGGAGUGGACGCAUCACUGGUGUUCGGGUUGUCAUGCCAAUGGCACUGCCCGGUAGCUAAAUGCGGAAGAGAUAAGUGCUGAAAGCAUCUAAGCACGAAACUUGCCCCGAGAUGAGUUCUCCCUGAGACUUAAAGUCUCCUGAAGGAACGUUGAAGACGACGACGUUGAUAGGCCGGGUGUGUAAGCGCAGCGAUGCGUUGAGCUAACCGGUACUAAUGAACCGUGAGGCUUAACCUUACAACGCCGAAG
RNAcentral lists this ribosomal RNA (3027 nucleotides) under Salmonella enterica subsp. enterica serovar Indiana. Its description in RNAcentral is "23S ribosomal RNA". It matches the Rfam family "Bacterial large subunit ribosomal RNA". The record is from RNAcentral. Lineage: Bacteria; Pseudomonadati; Pseudomonadota; Gammaproteobacteria; Enterobacterales; Enterobacteriaceae.